RNAcentral lists this ribosomal RNA (119 nucleotides) under Octopus bimaculoides (California two-spot octopus). Lineage: Eukaryota; Metazoa; Mollusca; Cephalopoda; Octopoda; Octopodidae. The record is from RNAcentral.
GUUUAUGGCCAUAUCACUUUGAAAACACCGGUUCUCGUCUGAUCACCGAAGUUAAGUAACAUUGAGCCUAGUUAGUACUUAGAUGGGUGACCUCUUGGGAAACCUAGGCGCUGUAAACG